Molecule: long non-coding RNA, 1844 nt
Organism: Panonychus citri (citrus red mite)
Lineage: Eukaryota; Metazoa; Arthropoda; Arachnida; Trombidiformes; Tetranychidae
Exons: 6
Source: RefSeq, a predicted model, not a curated record
AUCAGGUGGAAAAUAGAAAUUCAGAAAUAGACAGAGAAAGAAGGGAAAUUAAGGAAAAAAAUUUUCUUUUCUCUUGAAGUUUAAGAUUAACUUGUGUUCAGUUUUCUUAUUAAUUAUAAACAAUUAACUAGUCAUUCUUGAUUUUUUUUGUGUAACUAAUUGUUAUUAGCAAUUUUCGCCAAUAUUAAGUGAUUACUAAAGUUGAUUUUCUACAAUUGGAACAAUUAAUUUAAAUAAACGAUGGACAAUUAAUUGUGUUUCUAUAUUUCAUAAUUGGAGCCAAUGAUUAAUAUGGAGAACCUGUUGAUUUGGUCAAGAUUAAUGGAUCAAUUUCUACACUUUUGUUUUAUCGCAAACGGUGACAAUCGGUGAUGGAAAAAUUACCUUUGAAACUGGAGAAACUUUGAGCUCGUGGUUAUAUUUGAACGCUUUCACUUUGCUGCUAUUUAAAUAGAGAGAUAAUUUGAUGAAACUUUUAUUGAAAUUCCAAAUUGAACUUUGAUGAUUCUCUGUUGAAACUUUACUUCACAAUGGUAACAAUGAACAAUUUACAAAGAGACUAUACCUUUGGAUAUGGAUUAGAAUCAGUUUGAAAGAAACACGUACAAUGUCAAUUUGAUGGCUUAAAAGGCAACACGAUACAAGGAUAAGGAUGUGACAAAAAUAAUUCACUUUAAUUCUGAGCAAACGCUGAAAAAGUUAAUCCAAAAGCUAGAAAAAAGUUACAUUCACCUAGAUGGAUUUACCAAAGAUCGAAUCUUUUGUUCCAAUCAAGCUGAUCGAGGAUUGGAAUCGAUUAAAAGCCGUCGCUGGAUUAUUUUGUAAUCCCCUUAAAUUAGGGUCGCGAAAAGAGAGUAAAGAAAGAGAAGAUAUCUUGAGCUAGGAAAUGGUUCCAUUGGUCAUUAUAAUACUCGAAGAAGAAAAAAAGAGAGAGAGAGAGAGAGAGAGAGAGAGAGAGAGAGAAUAAAAGUGAGAGAGCAUUGGGAGUGAAACUCCAUAAAGACACAUUGAUAAAGUCCAUUUGGAAGGUUGGUCUUGAAAGAAGGUCACAUGAAGACAACCAACAGUUAAAGAUGCGAUUGAAACAACGUGACACUUUUCAUUCCCAUUUAAUGAAAUUGUCACGUUACAGUAAAUUGUGAUCAUAUUUACAUUCAUAUACUUGACCCACUACAUAUCAUUAGAGGAUGAAGAAAAGUCAAUAAUCAUCAUAAAUCCUCUAAUUAUAACUGGAUCAGUGUAAUUCUGUGUUUAUAGCGUAACAGAUUAAGUGGAUUACAAAGACAUUGAAGAAAAUGAAGAAAUAACAAUUUUCCUCUUGACCAUCGACCAUCAAAUUGAACCGAUGAUUAGCCAAUUGUAAACAUACGUCCAUUCGAAUGUGAUUGUUUUCUAAUUCGAUUCAUAUAACAUGUUCAGUCGCAUGUUCUGGUUGGGUGACCCAUCAACAGGUAACCUUAUAUAUUGAAGAUAUUUAUUCAAUAACUAAGUAAACAACUGACCACAUUGAUUGAUCACCUUUUCCAACAUUACUCAUGACAUUAGCUACAUGCUUUUAUUUAGCAAAGGAAAAUCAAUAAGAGUUAUUCAAUCUACUUAAUAAUCACCACAAGGAAUAUAAUCAUUGCAUAAUAAUUUAAUCGGUUAAUUGUUUUAAUUCAACGAACAAUUUUGUAUGAGUUGAAUUUCAAUUACAAAGUAAAAAUGAUAAUUUAUUGUAUUGGAAUUCAUGGAGAUCAAUGAACUGUGGUUAUAAAUUUCCAAGUUUUCGUUGGACGAAUAAAUUUAUCAUAUCGAAAGCAACUUUGGGCUGAUCGGUCGGGACCAUAUGACCAGCAUUACGA